AGUUGUACGGAGAGGGCGGGACUCGAACUGAAAUGAACAAGGCGCGGCCAAGAGCCCCUUCCUUCACACGUGUAGACAAAGGGACCCAUCAACACAACCCAAACAUGCAGGGAAAAGUUUUCCCGUGCGCGCGACUCCACGCCAGCACCUCGCGAGGCGCCCAGGCCAGCAUGCACGGGACUUUCAGCAGACGCCCUCUGAAGGAUUUCAUUAAUGAUUAUUUUUCGCUGUGGAAUAUUUUUACUUUCCUUCUGGAUUAUUGGAUAUUCACAAUGAGAAUUACUUUCAUCGUAGCAUUAGACACCAUGGACAAACAUAAGCAUCAGAUGGAUCUUCUGCAGCGGUGAGGAGAGGAACAGAUGAGCGGCUCAGGAAGUGUCCUUGUCUUCUUCCUCUUCACAUGAUGAUCUUGUGUGUCAUGGGCCUCUGCUCUCUCUCAGAAACUGCUUUUUGGCGCCUGGCUCAGAAUGAACAUUCAUCACUGGUGGGCAGGACGCGGCGCGAAACUCUAACGGCCAAAGUUCACGCAGAGAGGAAAGCUGAACUCCUCAAGAGCAGCCCGAGAAAUCCAGCUCCAGCACAGAGGAGCCUCAUCGCCUCAUCGCCUCCUCUCCGCUCUGCUCCAGCCCUAGAGGACCAUAAACACAGCCUCUCCUCACAGCAGCCCGGGCCCGAGCCCAGCAUCUCUAUUACUAUUCCUGUUGCCACAGGGCAUUGAACCGCGGCGAACUGCGACCCCUGGCCUUAUUUUCAAAGAUGAUCUGUGAACUCGACUGAGGCUCAGCGAUUCGCUGUGAAUGCAGCCGUGCAGAGAGGGGAGCAGGUGAAUCGCUCUUCCUCUGCUGUUGUUUUUGAUGUGGAACAUGGUCUGAGGCGAUUUCUCAGUGUGUGCAGAGAGCAAACACAGGGAAGUCAAAUAAUUUGGCUUGAGACAUUGAGAAGUCCACAACUAACAAUACAGAUGUCAGCGAAAGCUGUGUGCGUUUUGAUUUCCAAAUGCUUUGUGCAAAGCAUACUUUGCUUCCUCUUGCAUCAAUUAAGACUUUAGGUGAUAAGGUCCGGCAUCUGAAAAAUAACCCCAGGAAGCAGAAUUAAGUUAAAACAUGCUCCUCACAUCCUCCUGUCCUCACUGAAAUAAAGGCAGCUAAAUGUUGUUCGUUUAGUUGUGUACAUCACCCUUUUACUGCCUCAAAUCCUUCCUGCUUCUCUCUGUGUGUGUAAAUCAAUUUGGGCUCUAGGCUGAUCUGCCUCACAGACACCUUUUCCUUUGAUUGGGUUCCCACCGCAGCCUAGUGCAGGACUGCAGCCAGCAUUAAGUUCUUUGAGGGAUUUGUACUCCCCCUAGUCCUGGCUUACCCGCAUUGACUCUAUCUGCUGUCCUCCACCGGCUCGGAGAAUUCACAAACCCGGGAUCUGUUGGGCGGGAAGGAAAGAGGCUUUCGCGGCAGACCUACCUGCAGGGCAAACGUCCUUCACAGGCCAGGAUCAGAAACUCCUGUUUGUAAUGAAUUCAAGCCACAUACAAAGAACAGUUUUUGGCUUUUGGGACAGCAUCCACUGCAUCCUUGAAAGACAACCAACCUUGUGUGCUUGAAUCUGGGUUAAUUGAAGCUUAAAUUAAGACUUGGUUUGGUUGUGAUUUUGAUGGAAAACUAUUAAAUAUACUACCGUU
Carassius auratus (goldfish) is the source of this 1672-nucleotide long non-coding RNA. RefSeq lists it as uncharacterized. The transcript is spliced from 4 exons. NCBI's taxonomy places the organism in Eukaryota, Metazoa, Chordata, Actinopteri, Cypriniformes, Cyprinidae. The record is from RefSeq and is a predicted model, not a curated record.